This 634-nucleotide ribosomal RNA is filed under the name uncultured archaeon. RNAcentral's name for it is "bacterial SSU rRNA". It matches the Rfam family "Archaeal small subunit ribosomal RNA", at positions 223 to 859 of the family's 1478-position model. The record is from RNAcentral.
GAUUAGGUAGACGCCGGUGUAACGUACCGGCGUGCCUGUAAUCCGUACGGGUUGUGGGAGCAAGAGCCCGGAGAUGGAUUCUGAGACACGAAUCCAGGCCCUACGGGGCGUAGCAGGCGCGAAAACUCUACAAUGCAGGCAACUGCGAUAGGGGGACAUCGAGUGGCACCCACCUUGGGUGUCUGUCCAACCGUCUAAAAAACGGUGUUACAAGGGCCGGGUAAGACCGGUGCCAGCCGCCGCGGUAAUACCGGCGGCUCGAGUGGUGGCCGAUAUUAUUGAGUCUAAAGGGUCCGUAGCCGGCUUUGCAAGUCCUCUGGGAAAUCCAGCGGCUUAACCGUUGGGCUUCCAUGGGAAACUACAUUGCUUGGGACUGGGAGAGGUAGGAGGUACUCGAGGGGUAGGGGUGAAAUCCUGUAAUCCUUCGGGGACCACCGGUGGCGAAGGCGUCCUACCAGAACAGGUCCGACGGUGAGGGACGAAAGCUAGGGGCACGAACCGGAUUAGAUACCCGGGUAGUCCUAGCCGUAAACGAUGCCCGCUAGGUGUCACGGCGGUCGUGAAUCGCCGUGGUGCCGUAGGGAAGCCGCGAAGCGGGCCACUUGGGAAGUACGGCCGCAAGGCUGAAACUUAA